Molecule: unclassified non-coding RNA, 327 nt
Filed under: soil metagenome
Description: partial contains 5.8S ribosomal RNA, internal transcribed spacer 2, and large subunit ribosomal RNA
Rfam family: 5.8S ribosomal RNA (bases 1-120)
Source: RNAcentral
GAUGAAGAACGUAGCGAAAUGCGAUAAGUAAUGUGAAUUGCAGAAUUCAGUGAAUCAUCGAAUCUUUGAACGCACAUUGCGCCCCUUGGUAUUCCGCGGGGCAUGCCUGUUCGAGCGUCAUUAUAACCCCUCAAGCUCAGCUUGGUGUUGGGGCCUGCCGACUGGCAGCCCUUAAAAUCAGUGGCGGCGCCAUCUGGCUCUAAGCGUAGUAAUUUCUCUCGCUAUAGAGUCCCGGUGGAUGCUUGCCAGCAACCCCCAACUUUCUAUGGUUGACCUCGGAUCAGGUAGGGAUACCCGCUGAACUUAAGCAUAUCAAUAAGCGGAGGA